Molecule: ribosomal RNA, 970 nt
Filed under: Dysdercus fuscomaculatus
Lineage: Eukaryota; Metazoa; Arthropoda; Insecta; Hemiptera; Pyrrhocoridae
Description: SSU rRNA
Rfam family: Eukaryotic small subunit ribosomal RNA
Source: RNAcentral
AUUUAAAGUGAAACCGCAAAAGGCUCAGUAAACCGGUCAUAGUUUACAGGUUAAAUGCCACUUUACGUGGAUAACUGUGGUAAUUCUAGAGCUAAUACAUGCAAACCAAGUCCCGACCAGAGAUGGAGAGGACGCUUUUAUUGGAUCAAAACCAUUCGCCCGGCUCGCCCGGGCGUCUGCUUGAUGACUCUAGAUAACAUCACAGAUCGUACGGUCCUGGUACCGGCGACAUAUCCUUCAAAUGUCUGACUUAUCAGCUGUCGAUGGUAGAUUCUGUGUCUACCAUGGCUCUCACGGGUGACGGGGAAUCAGGGUUCGAUUCCGGAGAGGGAGCCUGAGAAACGGCUACCACAUCCAAGGAAGGCAGCAGGCACGCAAAUUACCCACUCCCGGCACGGGGAGGUAGUGACAAAAAAUAACGAUACGGGACUCAUCCGAGGCCCCGUAAUCGGAAUGAGAACAUCCUAAAUCCUUUAACGAGGAUCUAUUGGAGGGCAAGUCUGGUGCCAGCAGCCGCGGUAAUUCCAGCUCCAAUAGCGUAUAUUAAAGUUGUUGCGGUUAAAAAGCUCGUAGUUGGUUCUGCGUGCCACGCUGUCGGUUCACCGCCUGUCGGUGCAACUGGCAUGCCGUGGCAUGUCCUGUCGGUGGCGUACAGGCUUCGCGGCGCUCCCUGCAUGAUACGUUGUGUAGGUCGUCGAGUUGUUCUCGUACGCCGGCUCAAUCCUGCCGCGGUGCUCUUUACCGAGUGUCGAGGUAGGCCGGCACAUUUUACUUUGAACAAAUUAGAGUGCUUAAAGCAGGCUCUUAAAUCAGCCUGAAUAGUGGUGCAUGGAAUAAUGGAACAGGACCUUGGUUCUAUUUUGUUGGUUUUAGGAAUCCAAGGUAAUGAUCAAUAAGGACAGGCGGGGGCAUUCGUAUUGCGACGUUAGAGGUGAAAUUCUUGGAUCGUCGCAAGACGCACUAGAGCGAA